Molecule: ribosomal RNA, 1299 nt
Filed under: Triticum aestivum (bread wheat)
Lineage: Eukaryota; Viridiplantae; Streptophyta; Magnoliopsida; Poales; Poaceae
Description: partial small subunit ribosomal RNA
Source: RNAcentral
AUGACAAUACCGUUAGGAGAAGGCACACCGCUUGGAGGUUCAUCCCUGCCAGAAGAAGCUGACAUAGUGGCAAUGUCAUCUGGAGAAGAUGAGUUGCUGAAGGCAAUAAAAGGAGCAAACGGCAUGCCGGAGCUGUUCACCCCCUCCAGCGACGGUCGGCUGGCAGCAGUAGCCGUGGACGGCCUUCAGCAUCUGGUGCCUGCCAAUCGUGACAGCAACUGGUCUGAGAAUGUGUCGAAAGAAGCUGGCCGCGUGGUGAUAUCCACAGGAGAAGACAUGCUGCUUGGAAAUUCACGGCUGCUAGAAGAAGCUGAGGGAGUGGCAAUAUCGCCAGGAGACGGCAUGGCCCCUGUACAUUCUCCGCAGACUCAGCAGCAAGAGAUCCUUAUUGACCAUGCUCCACAAACCUCGAUUGAUGAGUUGCUCAAGGUGAUAAAAGGAGCCAAUGGCAUGCCGGUGCUGUUCGUCCCCUCCAGCGACGGGCGCCUUGCAGCAGUAGCUGUGGAUGGCCUUCAGAAUCUUGUGCCUGCCAAUCGCGACAACAAUGGGUCCGGUGAAAAUAGACACCGGGAUUUCCGUGCCUGGCUAUUACUCCUGGCGUCACUGGUUGCCACGGUCACCUUCACCGCAGGACUGACUCCACCCGGCGGCUUCUGGGCUACCGACGACAAGGCAAAUAGAUACGUCGCUGGUACCUCAGUUAUGCGUGACAAAUUUCAGACUAGGUACUAUAUCUUUCACUUUAGCAACACAACCGCCUUCUUCGCAUCCCUGCUGGUCAUUGGAAUGCUAGCCAAAAACAAGGAGGUCACUAUGAUGAACAAUAAAGUUUUCAGAAUCCUGGCUGCAUAUGUUGCACUGAUGGAUACCGUGAACAAGUCAAACAAAAGUGGGUAUGAAUCUCUCCUGAAGAUUUACAGGGAAACUGAUCUGCCAGGAAAAAGUUCUUUGGCAUCGUCCCCUGACCCUGAUGUUGUUCGUGAAGCGCUGAAUUUCCUGCUAUCGUUUGAGGUAAGGAAUCAGGAUUGCAUAUUUGUGCUCCACGGAGUGACUGCAGCAGCGCAUGAGGUGGCAUGGACAUGGUUGAAGGAAAACUGGGACUACAUAGCAGAGACCUUCACUGGACACCUGCUCACCUAUUUCAUCGCCGUCACUGUCUCACCGCUCGCCACAGACGAGAAGGGUGACGAGGCAGAGGAGUUCUUCAAGAGCAGGACCAAGGCGAGCAUCGCGAGGAUGGUGAAGCAGAGCAUCGAGAGGGUGAGGAUCAAGGCCAAGUGGGUCAAGAGUACCAAGUGA